Molecule: long non-coding RNA, 585 nt
Organism: Rhineura floridana
Lineage: Eukaryota; Metazoa; Chordata; Lepidosauria; Squamata; Rhineuridae
Exons: 3
Source: RefSeq, a predicted model, not a curated record
GCCAUCCUUCCAUCACCUGAGAUCCCAUCCAGUCUUUCAGUCAUGAGGAUCUUCGCCAUUCUUUCAGCUGUUCUCUUCAUGGUGCUGAUGGCUGCUCCAGCACUUGCUGAUCGACCAACAACAACACCCGGAAAUGCAACUGCUGAAUGCCGCCGUCUUAAUGGGUUCUGCCUUGGCCAUUGCCCACCAGGGAUGAAACGCAUUGGGAAGUGUGAUCCUCCAAGGCCAGUUUGCUGCCACUUUAUCAAAGCCAGGUAGUGUCACAUUGCUGGCUACUCAUAGCGGAUUCCUGGCUGACGUCCAUGGAUUGAGGAUUCAUUGAUCCUGCUUUGAUUCAUUGAUCCACUCAGCCAAUCAUCCAGCAUACUUCAGCUUCUCACCCAUGUACUCCCCCUUUCUCCCUCAGUAAAUUACCAUACAUCACCUAAUAGACCCGCACUUACCAUAUUUACAGAUGCUAACUUACAGGAACAUCACAGCAACCCCUUCUCCUGAUUUGCUACGUAUUUGCGCUUUUAAUGUAGCUUAUCUUAUGCUGAAUUGUCUUUCUCUUUAAGCUUAUUAAAACUAAGGCAUUUGAGCAUC